This 429-nucleotide ribosomal RNA is filed under the name Actinomycetes bacterium. RNAcentral describes it as "Actinobacteria bacterium partial 16S ribosomal RNA". It matches the Rfam family "Bacterial small subunit ribosomal RNA", at positions 355 to 776 of the family's 1533-position model. The record is from RNAcentral. Lineage: Bacteria; Bacillati; Actinomycetota; Actinomycetes.
UAGGGAAUCUUCCGCAAUGGGCGAAAGCCUGACGGAGCAACGCCGCGUGAGUGAUGAAGGUCUUCGGAUCGUAAAACUCUGUUAUUAGGGAAGAACAAAUGUGUAAGUAACUAUGCACGUCUUGACGGUACCUAAUCAGAAAGCCACGGCUAACUACGUGCCAGCAGCCGCGGUAAUACGUAGGUGGCAAGCGUUAUCCGGAAUUAUUGGGCGUAAAGCGCGCGUAGGCGGUUUUUUAAGUCUGAUGUGAAAGCCCACGGCUCAACCGUGGAGGGUAAUUGGAAACUGGAAAACUUGAAUGCAGAAGAGGAAAGUGGAAUUCCAUGUGUAGCGGUGAAAUGCGCAGAGAUAUGGGGGAACACCAGUGGCGAAGGCGACUUUCUGGUCUGUAACUGACGCUGAUGUGCGAAAGCGUGGGGAUCAAACAGG